GGACAUCAAGGCGAAAAUCCUUAGGAAGGUGCCAAGGAGCCUCAGAGAAAGAAAACAUAUAGAGACAGAAGUGGAGAACCAAAGUCAAACUUCAUCUACUUAAUAGAUGUACUUACCUCAAAUUAUUCUGCCUAUACCAUUGCACACUUGCUUAAAUGAAAUCUCCUCCCUGCCUCUUUUAAAUGGUGUAUUUCCUCAGUAUCUCCAAAUAGAGCAGAGUGUUGCUUUUUGAGACUAGACACUGUGGCUGUCUCUCUUCUGCUCUCCCCACCCCUACCCCAAAUCUACAAUACUGGCAUAAAGAAGAUGCCCAAUGAUUGAUUGUGAGUGGAAAGCACAUAAAAACACAUAAAACUUCAUUCAGUCUCUUUCUUGCUCAUUUUAUUUUUAGCCUAGCAAGCAAUAGUUGCAAUGAGUAUUUUUGUAUGAAUAAAUAAAUUUUCUCCAUGGUCUCUGAAUCCCACCCUCCCCUUUUUCUUUCAGGGCUGGAACAACCAUUAUCUCUGACAACUUAAACUCGCACUCCCUUGUAUUCAUUGUAUCUGGUCUGUGUCGGAUAACUGCUCAGAUGAAUGCUAAGGAAAUACCUGUGUACGUUGCUGUGUCAUGAAGACCAGUUCUUCUACCCUGAAAGAGUUCCACACUAUUCCUCCACCAAGAGGAUGUCUUAAUGCAACUGGUAGAAGUUUAGCAAUUUCUCCCAAGACUUCACUGUCAGCAGGAAGGAAGAAAACACUCAACAAAAAGAAACAGAUUUCAGACGGUUGGAAGAUGAGAUGGUUGGAUGACAUCACCAACUCAAUGGACAUGAACUUGAGAGAACUCCGGUUGAUGGUGAGUGACAGGGAGGCCCCGGCAUGCUGCAGUUCACAGGGUCACAGAGGGUCAGACACAACUUGGCGACUGAACAACAAUAGCAAGAUAGCAGAUAUAUUGCAGAUAGAGCAUAUUUAUGAAAAAAUAGAAAUUCCACUUCAACUAGGA
Molecule: long non-coding RNA, 984 nt
Filed under: Bos indicus x Bos taurus (hybrid cattle)
Lineage: Eukaryota; Metazoa; Chordata; Mammalia; Artiodactyla; Bovidae
Description: lncRNA (ENSBIXG00005009193.1)
Source: RNAcentral